GGAUGCGAUCAUACCAGCACUAAAGCACCGGAUCCCAUCAGAACUCCGAAGUUAAGCGUGUUUGGGCGAGAGUAGUACUGGGAUGGGUGACCUCCUGGGAAGUCCUCGUGUUGCGUUCC
Molecule: ribosomal RNA, 119 nt
Filed under: Triticum aestivum (bread wheat)
Lineage: Eukaryota; Viridiplantae; Streptophyta; Magnoliopsida; Poales; Poaceae
Source: RNAcentral